Molecule: transfer-messenger RNA, 364 nt
Filed under: Rhizobium leguminosarum bv. viciae
Lineage: Bacteria; Pseudomonadati; Pseudomonadota; Alphaproteobacteria; Hyphomicrobiales; Rhizobiaceae
Rfam family: Alphaproteobacteria transfer-messenger RNA
About the family: Bacterial tmRNA, also known as 10Sa RNA or SsrA, is named for its dual tRNA and mRNA-like properties. Its role is to liberate the mRNA from a stalled ribosome. To accomplish this part of the tmRNA is used as a reading frame that ends in a translation stop signal.
Source: RNAcentral
GCCCUUUCCUUGGGCUGAGGAAACCACUAUAUCACCCAUGCUGGCUUUCGGGCUAAGCUAUGGCGAUAAACGAGCGGUGUAAUAAACCUAUUGGACCCGGGGGCGGUACCCGGCGCCUCCACCAAAAACCGGCGGUCUCGAAGGUAGGCUUUUGAUGGGGGCGAAACAGGAUCGACAAGGGUGUAAAGAUCGUCUUUUUGCUCGGCAUUGUACCGCCGUUAUCGGGCUAAAAUUGUAGUUGCAAACGACAACUAUGCGGAAGCUCGUCUCGCUGCUUAAUCGCGGUGUGACACUUCAAUCAAAGUCCUAGUGGUUCGCACCUCUAGGCGGGGUCCGAAGGCACCUGGCAACAGAAGCCUUCACC